GAGCUUUUAGACUCAUGGGAUUAAGUCACCUGCCUUCAAAGAAAUUAAGAUAAAGCAGGAAACGUCAGUUCGAAUCUGACAAAGCUCA
This 88-nucleotide transfer RNA is filed under the name Paludibacter propionicigenes WB4. Its description in RNAcentral is "tRNA-Und (NNN) (tRNA-Und-NNN-1-1)". It matches the Rfam family "tRNA". Rfam says of the family: Transfer RNA (tRNA) molecules are approximately 80 nucleotides in length. The record is from Rfam by way of RNAcentral. Lineage: Bacteria; Pseudomonadati; Bacteroidota; Bacteroidia; Bacteroidales; Paludibacteraceae.